Molecule: long non-coding RNA, 316 nt
Filed under: Olea europaea (common olive)
Lineage: Eukaryota; Viridiplantae; Streptophyta; Magnoliopsida; Lamiales; Oleaceae
Description: long non-coding RNA (OEUR_LNC002507)
Source: RNAcentral
UUCAAUCUUCUGCAAUUUACUUAGUCAAAUCGUAAGUUUUCAUAUCCAUAAUUAUAUAUAAAAAAAAGUAUUGGUUUAGGACAAUGACGGACCUAGCACUCGGCAAAAGGCACAGCUGCGCGUGCUCGAUCUGUGAAAAUUUACAAUCGCUGUCGGUAGCUGCCGUGAAGAAACUUAAUGAGCAUACAUGACGAAAUAUGACAGUUUUGAUUGAGCCUUCUAUUUUUCAAUCAUGGGAUUGAGCCUUUUUUUUUUUUUUUUUUCAAUCGUGGGCCUUUUCUUUUAGGCCUCCUUUUUUUUUUUUUUUUUUUUUUUU